GGAGAAAACAGAGAAACAGAGGACGAGAGAAGAGAGGGAUAGGACAGAGUGAGCUGAGGAAGAAACGAAGGAGGAGAGGAAGGCUAGACUCGGGUUCUUGAAGCAACAAAAGAGAUCAAAAUCAUGCACCUGGAAGGCUUGACUCAUUGAAAUAGUUUUGGCGAGUUCGCCAUGGGACUGCUGGACCCGGCGGAUUAUAAAAUGGACCUGAUCGGUCGCUGGAUCCGAUGGAAUGUAAAUAUGGGCAAGAUCGACCGCUGGACCCGGCGAAAUAUAAAUAGGGGUCUGGUUGGCCGCUGGACCUGGUGGAAUAGAAAAAGGGGUCCGAUCGGCCGUUCGACCUGGUGAAAUAUAAAUUGAGGUCAACUCUUACCACCGGAGGUUAAUAGGCGGCUCCUGCUUUUGAGACAUGGAUAUUGGGAGUUGAGGAUGAUAUGAAUGAGAUGUGCGAGGUGACGGUACCGUCAUAACUCUGUUGCGAGGAAAUGCAACCUAUGGCUAUAUUGAUUGGUUGUGUUGUAUAUUGUUCGCCUAGUUUGAUUGCUGUAAAUAAUUGUUGAGAUUGUCUGAAGUUGUUUUGUGAAAGUCGUGUUAUUUGCUGCAGCUUGAUUUAGUUAGUGUGUGACUGUUAGGUGGUGUUGAGUUAAUAGUUAAUUCUAAUAUUAUUAUAUGGUUAUAAAGAUAAUUGAUUGUUUAUG
This is a non-coding RNA of Punica granatum (pomegranate), 698 nucleotides long. The record is from RefSeq and is a predicted model, not a curated record. NCBI's taxonomy places the organism in Eukaryota, Viridiplantae, Streptophyta, Magnoliopsida, Myrtales, Lythraceae.